CUGUACAAUGACUCUCGGCAACGGAUAUCUCGGCUCUUGCAUCGAUGAAGAACGUAGCGAAAUGCGAUACUUGGUGUGAAUUGCAGAAUCCCGUGAACCAUCGAGUCUUUGAACGCAAGUUGCGCCCGAAGCCAUUAGGUCGAGGGCACGUCUGCCUGGGUGUCACACA
RNAcentral lists this ribosomal RNA (169 nucleotides) under Pterocarpus acapulcensis. RNAcentral's name for it is "5.8S ribosomal RNA". It matches the Rfam family "5.8S ribosomal RNA". Rfam says of the family: 5.8S ribosomal RNA (5.8S rRNA) is a component of the large subunit of the eukaryotic ribosome. It is transcribed by RNA polymerase I as part of the 45S precursor that also contains 18S and 28S rRNA. The record is from RNAcentral. Lineage: Eukaryota; Viridiplantae; Streptophyta; Magnoliopsida; Fabales; Fabaceae.